This 253-nucleotide ribosomal RNA is filed under the name uncultured bacterium. RNAcentral describes it as "partial 16S ribosomal RNA". It matches the Rfam family "Bacterial small subunit ribosomal RNA", at positions 524 to 776 of the family's 1533-position model. The record is from RNAcentral.
UACGUAGGGCGCAAGCGUUGUCCGGAAUUAUUGGGCGUAAAGAGCUCGUAGGCGGUCUGUCGCGUCGGAUGUGAAAGCCCGGGGCUUAACCCCGGGUCUGCAUUCGAUACGGGCAGACUAGAGUGUGGUAGGGGAGAUCGGAAUUCCUGGUGUAGCGGUGAAAUGCGCAGAUAUCAGGAAGAACACCCGUGGCUAAGGCGGCUCUCUAGUACGGUACUGACGCUGAGACGCGAAAGCGUGGGGAGCGAACAGG